This 301-nucleotide ribosomal RNA is filed under the name uncultured bacterium. Its description in RNAcentral is "partial 16S ribosomal RNA". It matches the Rfam family "Bacterial small subunit ribosomal RNA", at positions 509 to 807 of the family's 1533-position model. The record is from RNAcentral.
CAGCCGCCGCGGUAAUACGUAGGUGGCAAGCGUUAUCCGGAAUUAUUGGGCGUAAAGUGCGCGUAGGCGGUUUUUUAAGUCUGAUGUGAAAGCCCACGGCUCAACCGUGGAGGGUCAUUGGAAACUGGAAAACUUGAGUGCAGAAGAGGAAAGUGGAAUUCCAUGUAUAGCGGUGAAAUGCGCAGAGAUAUGGAGGAACACCAGUGGCGAAGGCGACUUUCUGGUCUGUAACUGACGCUGAUGUGCGAAAGCGUGGGGAUCAAACAGGAUUAGAUACCCGCGUAGUCCCUGUCUCUUAUAC